This 301-nucleotide ribosomal RNA is filed under the name uncultured bacterium. RNAcentral's name for it is "partial 16S ribosomal RNA". It matches the Rfam family "Bacterial small subunit ribosomal RNA", at positions 509 to 808 of the family's 1533-position model. The record is from RNAcentral.
CAGCAGGCCACGGUAAUACGGAGGAUCCAAGCGUUAUCCGGAAUCAUUGGGUUUAAAGGGUCCGUAGGCGGUCUUGUAAGUCAGUGGUGAAAGCCCAUCGCUCAACGGUGGAACGGCCAUUGAUACUGCAGGACUUGAAUUAUUGGGAAGUAACUAGAAUAUGUAGUGUAGCGGUGAAAUGCUUAGAGAUUACAUGGAAUACCAAUUGCGAAGGCAGGUUACUACCAAUUGAUUGACGCUGAUGGACGAAAGCGUGGGUAGCGAACAGGAUUAGAUACCCGUGUAGUCCCUGUCUCUUAUA